CGCACAUUGCGCCCAUUAGUAUUCUAGUGGGCAUGCCUGUUCGAGCGUCAUUACGACCCUUAAGCCCUAGUUGCUUAGUGUUGGGAGCCUUAGGCGUAACACCCUAACUCCCCAAAGUCAGUUGGCAGAGUUGCGGCACACUCUGAGCGUAGUAAUUCUUUAUCUCGCUUCUUGCAGUUGUCGUGGCGAUCGCCACAAACCCCUAUUUUUCUAGUGGUUGACCUCGGAUCAGGUAGGAAUACCCGCUGAACUUAA
RNAcentral lists this unclassified non-coding RNA (255 nucleotides) under fungal sp. RNAcentral's name for it is "partial contains 5.8S ribosomal RNA, internal transcribed spacer 2, and large subunit ribosomal RNA". Lineage: Eukaryota; Fungi. The record is from RNAcentral.